GAAGUGUUUGAUUUUGGCUCGAUUUUUUACGUUAUUAUUAAAAUUGCAUGAAAGUUAUAGCAUGUUUGGAAAGCUUAGUUAUAUAUUAGGUUUAGAAUAGUGAGUAAGUAAAUUAUAAAAUUAUAUGGUCUCAGCAUAAAUUAUUAAAAUGGUAUACAAAAGUAUGAAUUAGUAGUAAUAUAUAAGAUCUGAUAAAUAUUUGUGCCAGCAUUCGCGGUUAUACUUUAAGGUUAAGUAAAAGUUGUUAGGGGGUAGUUAAAUGUUUGAAAUUUAUAAUGAAAGUUAUUAGCAGUAAAGGGUAAAAUUGAGUUGCUGUUUAUGUAUUGUUUGUUAGGUAAAUUUUAAUUGAAGCUAGGAAAAUCUGGUUAUAAACUAGGAUUAGAUACCCUAUUAUUCUAGAAGGAAACCUGAGAGACUCAAUUAGUAAAAGAUAUAUACUUAAAAAUUAAAAAAUUUGGCGGUGAUUUAAUCUUUUCAGAGGAAUUUGUUUCUUAAUCGAUAAACCACGAAAAAUCUUACCUAUUUUUGUUUUCAGUUUGUAUACCAUCAUUAUCAGGUAAUUCUUAGAGGAUAAAAUUACUAGGUAUAAAUGAUUAUGGAAAUUAGAUCAUGGUGCAGCUAAUAAGUAGGUUGAAAUGAAUUACAAUAAAUUGUUUUAUAAUGAAUUAGUAAUAGAAAGUUACUAUGAAGGAGGAUUUGAUUGUAUUGUAAGUUUAAUAAGCUUACAGGACAUAAGCUCUAAAUCAUGUACAUAUCGCCCGUCGCUUUCAUCUAUAAAUGAAAUAAGUCGUAACAUAGUAGGUGUAUUGGAAAGUGUACCUAGAAUUAC
This 829-nucleotide non-coding RNA is filed under the name Cardisoma armatum. Lineage: Eukaryota; Metazoa; Arthropoda; Malacostraca; Decapoda; Gecarcinidae. The record is from RNAcentral.